Molecule: transfer RNA, 85 nt
Filed under: Enterocloster aldenensis
Lineage: Bacteria; Bacillati; Bacillota; Clostridia; Lachnospirales; Lachnospiraceae
Description: [Clostridium] aldenense tRNA-Gln
Rfam family: tRNA
About the family: Transfer RNA (tRNA) molecules are approximately 80 nucleotides in length. Their secondary structure includes four short double-helical elements and three loops (D, anti-codon, and T loops).
Source: RNAcentral
ACGGCUAUUGCCAAGCGGUAAGGCGGGAGGCUUUGACCCUCUUAAAUAUCAAUAGAUUUCGCUGGUUCGAAUCCAGCUAGCCGUG